RNAcentral lists this ribosomal RNA (253 nucleotides) under uncultured bacterium. RNAcentral describes it as "partial 16S ribosomal RNA". It matches the Rfam family "Bacterial small subunit ribosomal RNA", at positions 524 to 776 of the family's 1533-position model. The record is from RNAcentral.
UACGGAGGAUGCGAGCGUUAUCCGGAUUUAUUGGGUUUAAAGGGUGCGUAGGCUGGUAUUUAAGUCAGUGGUGAAAUACCUCGGCUCAACUGAGGAGCUGCCAUUGAUACUGGGUACCUGGAGUUUAGUUGAAGUGGGCGGAAUGUAGCAUGUAGCGGUGAAAUGCAUAGAUAUGCUACAGAACACCAAUUGCGAAGGCAGCUCACUAAGCUAUAACUGACGCUGAAGCACGAAAGCGUGGGGAGCAAACAGG